Long non-coding RNA from Cyprinus carpio carpio, 1945 nucleotides. Lineage: Eukaryota; Metazoa; Chordata; Actinopteri; Cypriniformes; Cyprinidae. The record is from Ensembl.
GGUGGCUCGCUAUUAGUGAGUGCAUCAACCGGAUCCUUGCACAGUAUGUUGAGCUUAAGUUGCAUUUUCAGUUGACAAAAGACAGUGAGAGGAGCUAUGCUGCAGAACUGCUGUACCAAAUGUAUAGUGACAAUAUUAACCUGAUAUACCUGAAAUUCCUCCAACCAAUUGUGUCAGAGUUAAACAGACUUAAUAAAAUCUUUCAACUUGACAAACCUGAUCCUGCAAAACUUCUUACGGAACUUCUAACAUUUUACCGGUCCCUGCUUGAGCGCAUAGGUUUGCCGAAGACAUUCCAGAGCUGGCAAGACAUCAUGGAGUUUAACCUUUCUGAUGAGAAUCUUUUGCCACUUGAUGCCGUAGACUUUGGGGUGCAGUUCCGUCUUGCUUUGUUUGAAGCCAAUGGAAUAAGUGACCUAGCUGAACAGGACAUGAAACGCAGGUGCAGGGACUACAUGCUAGAGUUAUCUAAGGAAAUUAGGAAGAGACUUCCAGAUAACAUUAAACAGUUAGAGGCUCUCAAAUUCCUGUCCCCGAGUCAUACUCUGUCGUCAAGUAAGCCAAGGAUUGAUGAUCUUCCCUUUUUCCACCUCUUCAAGGGAGAUGUAGGAAAAGCAGAGCAACAGUGGAGAGUAAUUCACACUCUGGAAUGGAACAAUGCAGAAGAUGGCAAAACAGAGGACUUCUGGGUAGAAGUUUCUGCAUACAAAGAUACUGCAGGUGAUAGAAACUUUGAAGAUCUUGGGAAUUUUGUAUUGAGUCUUCUUGCUCUACCAUUCAGCAAUGCAGCAGUUGAGCGUUCAUUUUCCCAAAUGUCACUGUUAAAGAACAAGCUACGAAACAGGCUAGAGCAGAAUUCUUUGCUAAAUAUAAUGAGGAUUCGAGCUUACAUGCAAAGAAGAAACAUAUGCUGCCAUGAAUUUAAACCAUCACCACGGAUGCUUUCUCUCUUUACUGCUGAAAUCUAUUCAGCACCACCUGAGAAGGGUGGGGAAGAGAGCACCAAUGUCUAAAAUAAAACAGUCCUGAGAUUGUAUAUAGUUCUGUUCAAAUCUGUAAUCAAAAUGAGGCUGCACAGUUAGACCAUCUAAUAAGAAAAUGUUGUGAAAAGUUCUGAAAAAAGAGAAGACAAACAACAACAAAAACAAAGGGACAAGUGUUCAAGUUCACCCAAAGAUCUGGAGAUCUGGAGAGAAAAGCAUCAGAGAGAAGUGCUGAGAAGAGAAAAAGCCCAUCUGAAGUGCAGCUGGCAGCUGAAUUAGUGAGAGCAGCUGAGAGUCAUAAAUCAGAGGCAGACACAGAAUUCCAUCCGUGGCUCUGGCAUUCACUCUGUCAGCCAUGAAAUAAAGACGUAGCGAUGCAGGGGGUCAGAGGUGCCAGGCCUCAACCAACUCACACCCCUCCAGACCCCUCAGUAAACAUACGCCGGUCAUCCCAAAUCCCGUCAGCCUCUCAUCUUGUUCACCCCUCCACCAAUGACAUGGGCACUGGAUGUACCCGGCUCAGGGUUCGCAGUGUCAUUUGUGUGGUCCCAUCCACGCUCCCUCCCAUCAUGGCACACGGAUCGCCUUCUUCCUGAGACAGGAACCUGAUACUGAGACAGUGUGUCUGUAAUGAUGUCAAACAUGCUCUGGUUAUGUGGCCCCCGCCGUGAUAGAACCUGUCUUUAGCACCACACUCACAUUCAUCACAGACAGUUGGUUACACUCACACACACACACACACACACACAGACUUACACAUCGACGGUGUUCAGACCAUAUAAGCUGCGAAUGCUCAGCAUACCCUAACCAUUUGAGAGAGUUUGGAGCCUUGCUAAUUAAUAUUAACAUUACUAUAAAUUCCCUUUUGUGACAUAAAGCUUUCAUAACAAUCUGUGAUAUUUUAAUUGCCAGAUAUUUUUAGCAAAUCUGUGCCAGUUAUGGAGGGAUUCGGUUGGGCGGCA